This 490-nucleotide ribosomal RNA is filed under the name uncultured bacterium. Its description in RNAcentral is "partial 16S ribosomal RNA". It matches the Rfam family "Bacterial small subunit ribosomal RNA", at positions 28 to 507 of the family's 1533-position model. The record is from RNAcentral.
GAUGAACGCUAGCGAUAGGCUUAACACAUGCAAGUCGAGGGGCAGCAUGGUCUUAGCUUGCUAAGACUGAUGGCGACCGGCGCACGGGUGCGUAACGCGCAUGCAACUUGCCUCACAGAGGGGGAUAACCCGUCGAAAGACGGACUAAUACCGCGUACACUUGGGAUAGGGCAUCCUGACCCAAGGAAAUGAAAUUCGCUGUGAGAUAGGCAUGCGUCCCAUUAGCUAGUUGGUGAGGUAACGGCUCACCAAGGCGACGAUGGGUAGGGGAACUGAGAGGUUGAACCCCCACACUGGUACUGAGACACGGACCAGACUCCUACGGGAGGCAGCAGUGAGGAAUAUUGGUCAAUGGGCGAGAGCCUGAACCAGCCAAGUCGCGUGAAGGAUGACUGUCUUAUGGAUUGUAAACUUCUUUUAUACGGGAAUAACAAGAGCCACGUGUGGCUCCCUGCAUGUACCGUAUGAAUAAGCAUCGGCUAACUCCGUG